RNAcentral lists this ribosomal RNA (402 nucleotides) under uncultured microorganism. Its description in RNAcentral is "bacterial SSU rRNA". It matches the Rfam family "Archaeal small subunit ribosomal RNA", at positions 330 to 735 of the family's 1478-position model. The record is from RNAcentral.
GUGCAGCAGGCGAGAAACUCCGCAAUACACGAAAGUGUGACGGGGCCAUCCCGAGUGCCGUCCGCUGAGGACGGCUUUUCCCCAGUGUACACAGCUGGGGGAAUAAGGAGGGGGCAAGCCUGGUGUCAGCCGCCGCGGUAAUACCAGCUCUCCGAGUGGUGGGGACGCUUAUUGGGCCUAAAGCAUCCGUAGCCGGCUGGGCAAGUUCUCCGUUAAAUCCAACGAUUCAAUCGUUGGGCUGCGGGGGAUACUGUCCAGCUUGGGGGCGGGAGAGGCCGACGGUAUUCCCGGGGUAGGGGUGAAAUCCUAUAAUCCCGGGAGGACCACCAGUGGCGAAGGCUGUCGGCUAGAACGCGCCCGACGGUGAGGGAUGAAAGCUGGGGGAGCGAACCGGAUUAGAUA